CAUGCAAGUCGAGCGGUCAAAAUGAGGGGGCUUGCCCCUGAAAGACGAGCGGCGGACGGGUGAGUAAUGCGCGGGAACGCGCCCUUUGGAGGGGGACAACCUUGGGAAACCAGGGCUAAUACCGCAUAACCUCCACGGAGCAAAGCGGGGGAUUUCUUCGGAAACCUCGCGCCAAAGGAGCGGCCCGCGUCCGAUUAGUUUGACGGCGGGGUAACAGCCCACCGUGACUACCAUCGGUAGCUGGUCUGAGAGGAUGAUCAGCCACACCGGGACUGAGACACGGCCCGGACUCCUACGGGAGGCAGCAGUGGGGAAUAUUGGACAAUGGGGGCAACCCUGAUCCAGCGAUGCCGCGUGUGUGAAGAAGGCCUUCGGGUUGUAAAGCACUUUCGCAGGGGAAGAAACGGUGCGCUCUAACAUAGCGCGCAACUGACGGUACCCUGAAAAGAAGCGCCGGCUAAUUCCGUGCCAGCAGUCGCGGUAAUACGGAAGGCGCAAGCGUUAAUCGGAAUGACUGGGCGUAAAGCGUGCGCAGGCGGCCGCGCAAGUCGGAUGUGAAAGCCCCGGGCUCAACCCGGGAAUGGCGUUCGAAACUGCGCG
RNAcentral lists this ribosomal RNA (600 nucleotides) under uncultured Gammaproteobacteria bacterium. RNAcentral's name for it is "bacterial SSU rRNA". It matches the Rfam family "Bacterial small subunit ribosomal RNA", at positions 54 to 639 of the family's 1533-position model. The record is from RNAcentral. Lineage: Bacteria; Pseudomonadati; Pseudomonadota; Gammaproteobacteria.